Molecule: long non-coding RNA, 418 nt
Filed under: Rhagoletis pomonella (apple maggot)
Lineage: Eukaryota; Metazoa; Arthropoda; Insecta; Diptera; Tephritidae
Description: uncharacterized LOC118756642, transcript variant X1
Source: RNAcentral
AACAGACCUUUCCUGAACUGGACGAAAUUUUAUCCAAAAAAAUUCAAGUUUGGCGGAAAUAUAAUGAUAGCCCACUAGAGGAAAUUGUGGAGAAGUGGAAAACGACACAUCUAUAUAGAAAUAUUUAUCUCAUGAAUUCAUUGGAAAGAGGGGAAACGAUAUCCGCAUUUAUAAUCGAAUGGCCUUUGUACAAACAUUGUGUUCUUGGACCACAGCUGAUCAAUUGUGAUUUUGAUAUACUCUAUCCGAACAAAGGAACAAAUUUGCAUACAAAGUGGGAAGAUUUCGUGCCAUUAAUAUACAGCUAUUAUAAGAAAAAUAAAAGGACAAAGUUUCCCGAGAAAUUUUAAUUCAAUUGGAAAAUCAAAACCUCGCUGCAGGUACUAGAAAUUAUAUUUGGGGUAUUCACAACGGUGUC